Molecule: ribosomal RNA, 460 nt
Filed under: uncultured bacterium
Lineage: Bacteria
Description: partial 16S ribosomal RNA
Rfam family: Bacterial small subunit ribosomal RNA
Source: RNAcentral
CCUACGGGAGGCAGCAGUGAGGAAUAUUGGUCAAUGGGCGAGAGCCUGAACCAGCCAAGUCGCGUGAAGGAUGACGGCCCUACGGGUUGUAAACUUCUUUUGUCAGGGAGCAAUUGGGUCCACGCGUGGGCUUAGCGAGAGUACCUGAAGAAAAAGCAUCGGCUAACCCCGUGCCAGCAGCCGCGGUAAUACGGAGGAUGCGGGCGUUAUCCGGAUUUAUGGGGUUUAAAGGGUGCGUAGGCGGAAUAUCAAGUCAGCGGUAAAAAUUCGGGGCUCAACCCCGUCGUGCCGUUGAAACUGAUGUUCUUGAGUGGGCGAGAAGUAUGCGGAAUGCGUGGUGUAGCGGUGAAAUGCAUAGAUAUCACGCAGAACUCCGAUUGCGAAGGCAGCAUACCGGCGCCCAACUGACGCUGAAGCACGAAAGCGUGGGUAUCGAACAGGAUUAGAUACCCCAGUAGUC